This 1417-nucleotide unclassified non-coding RNA is filed under the name uncultured Neocallimastigales. RNAcentral's name for it is "partial contains small subunit ribosomal RNA, internal transcribed spacer 1, 5.8S ribosomal RNA, internal transcribed spacer 2, and large subunit ribosomal RNA". The stretch from base 662 to 1417 matches the Rfam family "Eukaryotic large subunit ribosomal RNA", at positions 1 to 617 of the family's 3401-position model. The record is from RNAcentral. Lineage: Eukaryota; Fungi; Neocallimastigomycota; Neocallimastigomycetes; Neocallimastigales.
UUUCCGUAGGUGAACCUGCGGAAGGAUCAUUAAAAAAUUGGACUCCAUUGGUGAGUUCAUUAAUGAUCCCUACCCUUUGUGAAUUUGUUUGUUUGAAUAAUUUUUUUUCCAAAAAAAAUUAUUGAAUGUCUUUCCUUGUUUUGGUGGAGCUUGUAAAGUGAAACCAGGCAGGGGAAUGGCAAACAAUAAUUAUUUUUGAAAAAGACCUUUUUUUUAAAAUUAAACUUUUUGUAUUCAUUUGUCUAAAAUUAAUUUUUAUAAUAUAAAAACAACUUUUGACAAUGGAUCUCUUGGUUCUCGCAACGAUGAAGAACGCAGCAAAAUGCGAUAAGUAGUGUGAAUUGCAGAAUACGUGAAUCAUCGAAUCUUCGAACGCAUAUUGCACUUUUUUAGUUUACUAAAAAAGUAUGUCUGUUGAGUAUCAGUAAAAUAUUCUCGUAAAAAACAUUGUUUUUUUUAUGGUUAUGAGUGUUUUACAACGAUAACAAGUUGUUUCACUUUAAAUUCUUUGUUAUCAAAAAAAUCAUUAAAAGCUAAUUUUAAAGAUUUUUUAAAAUUGGAUAAAAUUUUCCCGUAAAAAGGAAUAACCUAAACAAUUUUAAAAAAUUAAAAUUGGUUUGAUUUUUUUUGAAACCCAAAGGAAAAAAAAACGAAAUUAACUUGAUCUCAAAUCAGAUAAGAGUACCCGCUGAACUUAAGCAUAUCAAUAAGCGGAGGAAAAGAAACUAACUAGGAUUCCCUCAGUAACGGCGAGUGAGGCGGGAAGAGCUCAAAUUUGAAAUCUUCAAGGUUUUACCUUGACGAAUUGUAGUUUAAAGAAGUGUUUACUGUUGGAGUUUUGGUAAAAGUUCUUUGGAAAAGGACAUCAUAGAGGGUGAGAAUCCCGUAUUUGACCAUUAUCUCCAGCUUUGUGAUACACUUUCAAAGAGUCGGAUUGUUUGGGAAUGCAGUCCAAAAUGGGUGGUAAAUUUCAUCUAAAGCUAAAUACUGGCGAGAGACCGAUAGCGAACAAGUACCGUGAGGGAAAGAUGAAAAGAACUUUGAAAAGAGAGUUAAACAGUACGUGAAAUUGUCAAAGGGAAGCGUUUGACACCAGUGUUGUUUUCUCGAAAAUCAAUUAAAAAAGGCCGGAUUUUGUGUUGUAUUGACUUUAUCAGCUUUCUGCACUCUUUUCUUGUCUUUUUUAAUGCACUUUUCGUUUAACAAGUCAACAUCAAUUUCUUUUGUUGUAAAAGGGUCAUUGGAAGGUGGCUUUCUUUUCGGAGAAAGUGUUUAUAGCCUUUGGCCUCUGCAAUCGGAGAGAUUGAGGUCUGCAGCGUAGAUCCUUCGGGUUAGAUACAUUUGUGCUAAGUUAUAGCCUUUCAUAGACAACUUGUUGACUAUGAUCAGUCAUGUAGCUUACUCGCUUAUGCUAUUU